This is a long non-coding RNA of Pyrus x bretschneideri (Chinese white pear), 1392 nucleotides long. RefSeq lists it as uncharacterized. The transcript is spliced from 2 exons. The record is from RefSeq and is a predicted model, not a curated record. Lineage: Eukaryota; Viridiplantae; Streptophyta; Magnoliopsida; Rosales; Rosaceae.
CUCUCCACUCCUACAAUCUCACUCUGUCUCUCUCUCGAUCGACUCAUCUUCUCCGUCCACCUAAAAUCGAGGUUUGCUUCACAACAGCCUCCAAUGGCUUCCUUCAAUGUUCCCUUUCCCAAGGCGCGCUUAGCCCCCGUUACCCGCCUUGGCUCCUCCGCCCAGCCGCAGCAGCACCUACUCUCCUUCCACAAUUGCCUCAGUCGCUGCCCCAUUCCAUCUCUGUAGAUUUCUGGCCUUCAGACUCCCGGUGCGAACUUGAACAACCUGCGAACAAGGAAGAGCUUUUGAGGAGCACCAUUGUGCUGUCGGUCCAAGAUAUAUUCCCCGACACCCAAGUUAGUGUUCGAUUGGUAUUGUUGAAUGAACUCAGGGAAAGAGUUAUAAAGUUAAUUUGUAUCUCAGCUCUAGGGUUUAGAAUGACCGAUGCUUAUAUCCAUUUUGAGGUGUAUCUUGAGAAUCCAUGAGUGGAUAUUACUCUCAAGCGGUGUAGUUCUCGAAUAAGAUAUGAGGAUCACGUUCAUACUAUUCAGACCUGGAUUCUCUUAGUUAAGCUCGAGCUAGGGCUUGGAACGUUCUUUAUAGGUUAUUGGCAGAGUCAUGCUUAUUUAAGAUGAUUAGGGAAUGUCCAUGGUGUUGUAGACAUAUUGAGACCCGGACUUGAAUGUUCUGCUAGAUCUGAAGAUGAUGGUGAUAUCGUCUCCAAGCUCUGAGAGGACACGUGAGAGGUCCAUGCCAUUGCAUGAUCCGACAGCCUCCAACCAUGGGAAUGUGCCAAUAAAUCCUAAACUCUUGAAAUUCUCAUUCAUCUUCUAAAUUUAACUUGCACAUAUUUCUACAUCGUGUAGCUCUUGACUCGUGUGACAAUAUCUAACAUGCUUAUUCCUUUUCUUGGUUGUAGGUAGCAACAAGAUUCUCAAGGUGUGCCAAUUAAAUUAUGCUACAAAGGACGUGAAUGGGGGUAGUUGAUCUACUCACCAAAUAUAUAUACUAUAAUAUAUAGGAAAUUGUUAUUGACACUUCAAAAAUCUCAUUCUACAUUCCAAACUUUCUAUAUUUGAAAAGAAAAAUACACUUGUGAGGAGUGUAGAAUGAGAUUUUUGAAGUGUUAAUAACACUUCCCAAUAUAUAUAGUGGUGCAUAAAUAUAACUUGAGGGCCUUUAGAUAUCGGUGUAUUUCCACCACUGUAUGAAUGCAUGACAUUUAAGUGAUAUCAAAAAAAAAAAAAAAAAAAAAAAAAAAACAACUAAAACAAGAAGAAGAAGAAGAAGAAGAGGUAUAAUGGAGAAAAAAAAGUUGUGAAUAUCACUUUGAACAUGCAUGCAUUAUUUGGUACGUCAAAGAAAAUAGAGUUCCCUAUAUAUAAAGAUAUGUUAACAUGUGGAGUGCUG